GACAUGAGACUUUCAGUUUUAAGACUUACACCUCAUGUUCCUUGGGAAGGUCUGAGACUAGAGUCAAUAAACAGCCCUAACAGGGCCCUCCCUGAAUCUCGGGGAGGUGAGUUCCCAGAAAACGGGUCUCCGCGCGAGGUCAGACUGGGCAGGAGAUUCCAUGAGACCCCGUCCUUGAGGAGGGGCCUGGCGGAUGCCUCCUGAGCCGGAGUUUGGAACAGUUUUAAGACUGAGUUGGUUACCCUAUGAGACUGGUCUACCUUAUAGAUGCUAUUUCUAAAUAUUCUGGUUAAGUGGUAGAUAUACAGAGUGCUGGUAACAUGACUUCUCUGCUUUU
Molecule: RNase P RNA, 337 nt
Filed under: Catagonus wagneri (Chacoan peccary)
Lineage: Eukaryota; Metazoa; Chordata; Mammalia; Artiodactyla; Tayassuidae
Description: Nuclear RNase P (ENSCWAG00000004687.1)
Rfam family: Nuclear RNase P
About the family: Ribonuclease P (RNase P) is a ubiquitous endoribonuclease, found in archaea, bacteria and eukarya as well as chloroplasts and mitochondria.
Source: RNAcentral